GAGCCAUGGAGGGGUCGCCUCAUUUACAUCUGCAGCAGGUCGACGGUAUUAGCGUCUUUAAAGAUGAAUGCAGUGAUAGUGUGUGUGCUAGUGAAUGUCUGUGAAUGGGUGGUUUGUUGUUACUGUGAGUGUUUUCUUCAUUUGUCUAAUCUACACGCUGAUCUUAUUCGAUCGGCUGGUGUCCGCCAGCUUGAAAUGAAGACUUCUCCAGCUGAUGGUCAUCCUUCAAUGCGCUGAACAGAAGCGUGCCUGACACAAAGUUCAGAGGUAUGAUCGAUCAGAUAUACUAGGCCAGGGUGGCUUGUAUCCUCACGGGUUUGAGGCAAACUUGGCCCAUGAGUAUAGAGCGAUUCUGAUCUGA
This is a non-coding RNA of Protopterus annectens (West African lungfish), 361 nucleotides long. RefSeq annotates it as small Cajal body-specific RNA 2. Lineage: Eukaryota; Metazoa; Chordata; Ceratodontiformes; Protopteridae. The transcript has a single exon. The record is from RefSeq and is a predicted model, not a curated record.